AACGAACGCUGGCGGCAUGCCUAACACAUGCAAGUCGAACGAGACCUUCGGGUCUAGUGGCGCACGGGUGCGUAACGCGUGGGAACCUGCCCUUAGGUUCGGAAUAACUCCCCGAAAGGGGUGCUAAUACCGGAUAAUGUCUUCGGACCAAAGAUUUAUCGCCUUUGGAUGGGCCCGCGUUGGAUUAGCUAGUUGGUAGGGUAAAAGCCUACCAAGGCGACGAUCCAUAGCUGGUCUGAGAGGAUGAUCAGCCACACUGGGACUGAGACACGGCCCAGACUCCUACGGGAGGCAGCAGUGGAGAAUAUUGGACAAUGGGCGAAAGCCUGAUACAGCAAUGCCGCGUGAGUGAUGAAGGCCUUAGGGUUGUAAAGCUCUUUUACCCGGGAUGAUAAUGACAGUACCGGGAGAAUAAGCUCCGGCUAACUCCGUG
Molecule: ribosomal RNA, 433 nt
Filed under: uncultured bacterium
Lineage: Bacteria
Description: partial 16S ribosomal RNA
Rfam family: Bacterial small subunit ribosomal RNA
Source: RNAcentral